CCUACGGGAGGCUGCGGUGGGGAAUAUUGGACAAUGGGGGCAACCCUGAUCCAGCCAUGCCGCGUGUGUGAAGAAGGCCCUCGGGUUGUAAAGCACUUUCAGUGAGGAAGAACGCCUGGUGGUUAAUACCCAUCAGGAAAGACAUCACUCACAGAAGAAGCACCGGCUAACUCCGUGCCAGCAGCCGCGGUAAUACGGAGGGUGCGAGCGUUAAUCGGAAUUACUGGGCGUAAAGCGCGCGUAGGUGGCUUGAUAAGCCGGUUGUGAAAGCCCCGGGCUCAACCUGGGAACGGCAUCCGGAACUGUCAAGCUAGAGUGCAGGAGAGGAAGGUAGAAUUCCCGGUGUAGCGGUGAAAUGCGUAGAGAUCGGGAGGAAUACCAGUGGCGAAGGCGGCCUUCUGGACUGACACUGACACUGAGGUGCGAAAGCGUGGGUAGCAAACAGGAUUAGAUACCCCAGUAGUC
RNAcentral lists this ribosomal RNA (465 nucleotides) under Vreelandella stevensii. RNAcentral describes it as "partial 16S ribosomal RNA". It matches the Rfam family "Bacterial small subunit ribosomal RNA", at positions 338 to 795 of the family's 1533-position model. Lineage: Bacteria; Pseudomonadati; Pseudomonadota; Gammaproteobacteria; Oceanospirillales; Halomonadaceae. The record is from RNAcentral.